GACGAGGUGGCCGAGUGGUUGAAGGCGCAACUUUUAAGCAGUUGUAUCGUGAGAUAUCUUGGGUUCGAAUCCCAAUCUCGUCA
This 83-nucleotide transfer RNA is filed under the name Verticillium dahliae VdLs.17. RNAcentral describes it as "tRNA-Leu (TAA) (tRNA-Leu-TAA-1-1)". It matches the Rfam family "tRNA". Rfam says of the family: Transfer RNA (tRNA) molecules are approximately 80 nucleotides in length. The record is from RNAcentral. RNAcentral also lists the same sequence under 2 other names. Lineage: Eukaryota; Fungi; Ascomycota; Sordariomycetes; Glomerellales; Plectosphaerellaceae.